RNAcentral lists this ribosomal RNA (579 nucleotides) under uncultured bacterium. Its description in RNAcentral is "bacterial SSU rRNA". It matches the Rfam family "Bacterial small subunit ribosomal RNA", at positions 338 to 915 of the family's 1533-position model. The record is from RNAcentral.
CCUACGGGAGGCAGCAGUAAGGAAUAUUGGACAAUGGACGCAGGUCUGAUCCAGCCAUGCCGCGUGAAGGAUUAAGGCCCUCUGGGUUGUAAACUUCUUUUAUAGGGGACGAAAAAAGGGCUUUCUAGCUCGACUGACGGUACCCUAUGAAUAAGCACCGGCUAACUCCGUGCCAGCAGCCGCGGUAAUACGGAGGGUGCAAGCGUUAUCCGGAUUCACUGGGUUUAAAGGGUGCGUAGGCGGGCAUUUAAGUCAGUGGUGAAAUCUUCGAGCUCAACUCGGAAACUGCCAUUGAUACUAUUUGUCUUGAAUAUUGUGGAGGUGAGCGGAAUAUGUCAUGUAGCGGUGAAAUGCUUAGAUAUGACAUAGAACACCGAUUGCGAAGGCAGCUCGCUACACAAAUAUUGACGCUGAGGCACGAAAGCGUGGGGAUCAAACAGGAUUAGAUACCCUGGUAGUCCACGCCCUAAACUAUGGAUACUCGACAUUUGCGAUACACAGUAAGUGUCUGAGCGAAAGCAUUAAGUAUCCAACCUGGGAAGUUAGACCGCAAGGUUGAAACUUCAAAUUGAAUUGAGG